Molecule: microRNA precursor, 149 nt
Filed under: Bombyx mori (domestic silkworm)
Lineage: Eukaryota; Metazoa; Arthropoda; Insecta; Lepidoptera; Bombycidae
Description: microRNA bmo-mir-3373 precursor
Source: miRBase by way of RNAcentral
AUAGGUGAGCAAUAUAGCCGCAGAACUGUUCGGGCAUGCCCCUCAACCUCAGCAAUUCGACAAGUGCCUCGUGAGACACAGUGUCGAAUGCCUUGGCGAAGUCUAGCACCGCCACGUGACAUUCCCGCAGCUUCUUCCUGCUAUCCCCA